Molecule: small nuclear RNA, 107 nt
Organism: Pongo abelii (Sumatran orangutan)
Lineage: Eukaryota; Metazoa; Chordata; Mammalia; Primates; Hominidae
Source: Ensembl
GUGCUUGCUUCGGCAGCACAUAUACUAAAAUUGGAAUGAUACAGAGAAGAUUAGCAUGGCCCAUGUGCAAGAAUAAUACACAAAUUCGUGAAGCAUUCCAUAUUUUU